UGAAGGAUAGGGAAAACUUCGUCUGUGCGACCCAAGUUACGUAAAACAGUAGCUUUAAUCAACGCCUGACAAAUAUCGUCGUCUUGAUCUUGCCAUGGUUCCAUCCGUUCAACAUCGAACUUAGAUAGCUCAUCAUCAGUCAUUCUACGGAAACCGUUCCAAACGUAAACUAGUUCAUAUAAAGGUGAAAAUCCAACGUACUCGGCAAGACCA
Schizosaccharomyces pombe (fission yeast) is the source of this 213-nucleotide non-coding RNA. The record is from the annotation of a GenBank genome assembly. NCBI's taxonomy places the organism in Eukaryota, Fungi, Ascomycota, Schizosaccharomycetes, Schizosaccharomycetales, Schizosaccharomycetaceae.